UAGGGAAGGUGGAGAGAAGUUUCCAUGUUACAAAGUGUCAAGAACUAAAGCCUUUCCAGGGCUAUAAAUUUCAUCCAUGGAGGUUUUUUUACUCAAAUCUUUAUGCUUGGAAAAUGUUUUACUCUGAGGAAUGCUCUGGAAAGGAAUGCUAUGGAUGACAAUAGAAAGAUAUUUUGGUAGCUUCAGCGAAGGUAGAAGGCAGUCCACUGCAAUUAUUUGGUUUUGAUUAUGGUAGGCGGGUUGCAGGCCUAAUGUUCAAGUAUGGGUGGAGCCAUUGGGGGGCCAGGAUAUCAGGAAGGAAAAGCAUGAAAUGUUGUUGUCUUCAUCAAUAGCUGCCAAUGCUGGAUUGCACAUGCGGCUGGUCCAUGUCCAUUGCCAUAAUAGCUUCCUGAUAAAACACCCCUUGGUUACUAUACUCUAAUCCUUGUUUUAGAGUUAUUUCCCAACCCAAAGAUCUGCCCCACAGGCAUGUGCAUAGAUCCCUGGACAGCUUCCAGGAAGUUUCCUCCAUCAACAUCUGAAAAUGUAGCUUGUUUCAUGCAAAUUAUGGGGGCAUGGAUCAGCACUCAAGCCCCAUAAUAAUUUACAAAAAGACACAAGCUCUUCCUAGAUUUUCCUACUCUCUAAGAUGUCAAUGUCAUAAAUUAAUUUCAUUUUUUUUAUUCCUUUUCAAGAAAGCGGAAUUAUACUUGCACACCCAAAUCAAUGAUGUUGGUUUUCUUGAGACUAACAUUUGAAAUUACUAGAAUAUGAUCCGUGCUUUGCACACGGGUCUCCUUGUACCUCUUUUUGUUUGGACAUUUUUUUCUAAAAUAGAGAAUAGAAUUAUCAGAGAAGUUGUGAUA
Molecule: non-coding RNA, 845 nt
Organism: Theobroma umbraticum
Lineage: Eukaryota; Viridiplantae; Streptophyta; Magnoliopsida; Malvales; Malvaceae
Source: RefSeq, a predicted model, not a curated record